Molecule: ribosomal RNA, 475 nt
Filed under: Gephyromantis leucocephalus
Lineage: Eukaryota; Metazoa; Chordata; Amphibia; Anura; Mantellidae
Description: partial 16S ribosomal RNA
Rfam family: Bacterial large subunit ribosomal RNA
Source: RNAcentral
GUUAGCAUAAUCACUUGUUCUUUAAAUGAGGACUUGUAUCAAUGGCAUCACGAGGGCUUUACUGUCUCCUUUCCCUAAUCAGUGAAACUAAUCUUCCCGUGAAGAAGCGGGAAUAAACUUAUAAGACGAGAAGACCCCAUGGAGCUUUAAGUUAGCUACACAUCUAUUUUCUAUACCCUCUAAUUAAAUAGAACACUGCCUGCUCAACUUUAGGUUGGGGUGACCGCGGAGUAUAACAUAACCUCCACGAUGUACGAGAUAUUCUCUUAUCUAAGAACUACAAUUCUAAGAAUUAGUAUUCUUAACAUGCAAUGAUCCGAUAAUCGAUCAACGGAACAAGUUACCCUGGGGAUAACAGCGCAAUCCAUUUCAAGAGCCCCUAUCGACAAAUGGGUUUACGACCUCGAUGUUGGAUCAGGAUAUCCUAGUGGUGCAGCAGCUACUAAAGGUUCGUUUGUUCAACGAUUAAAAUCCU